Molecule: long non-coding RNA, 627 nt
Organism: Aplysia californica (California sea hare)
Lineage: Eukaryota; Metazoa; Mollusca; Gastropoda; Aplysiida; Aplysiidae
Exons: 3
Source: RefSeq, a predicted model, not a curated record
GGGAAAGAUCUGAUGAAGAUCUCCCAGAUCCCUAAGCCUGAGGGAAAUCUAGUGGAGUUUAUACACAAGUCUAUGGCCACACUCGCCAGGGGACAAGAGACGCUCGGAGAGUUGGCCUUCUUCUUGUCUCAGCAGGCUCUCAAGUCUGUCGCACUGGACAGAAAAGUUCUCGAUCUGGACAAAAAAAUUAAUCUGAUCAAGUUGAUGGUCCGUGGGGCUUUCACUCCGGGGUAAGUUUGUUCACCAUAAUUUGUUUUCAUCUGGUAACCAGAUAUACAUGUAUUUUACUUUUUAAUGAUAGAUAUUGGUGAAAAGAAAUUCAAGCAAAGUACAGGUAUUUUCAUCUGGUUAAAACUCGUCGUGUCUCCAUGUUUCUGGAGAUACAGUGUAAAUGUAGGUCUUGUAUGUUAGUGUUUUAGCGCCAAUCAAAUGGCACCUUGCACGGUAUGCUUCCCAAGAAGUUGAGAUUGUUUCAGAAGGCUAUCAGGUCUGCUGGGGUAAUAAUAUAGAUUGUAAAGCGCAUAGAGCUUGCUUUUGAGCUGGAAUUUGCGCUCUACAAAUGCUAUCUAAUAUUACUAAAUACAAUUAUGGUCUACAGUAAUGAUGAUGAGAAGGAAGAAUAGAGGG